GUGCUUGCUUCGACAGCACAUAUACUAAAAUUGGAA
RNAcentral lists this small nuclear RNA (36 nucleotides) under Cervus elaphus hippelaphus. The record is from RNAcentral. Lineage: Eukaryota; Metazoa; Chordata; Mammalia; Artiodactyla; Cervidae.